UAAAGUGGAAUUGGGAUAAUA
Molecule: microRNA, 21 nt
Filed under: Carica papaya (papaya)
Lineage: Eukaryota; Viridiplantae; Streptophyta; Magnoliopsida; Brassicales; Caricaceae
Description: cpa-miR8136
Source: miRBase by way of RNAcentral